ACACAUGCAAGUCGAACGAGAAUCUACUGAAAGAGUUUUCGGACAAUGGAUGUAGAGGAAAGUGGCGGACGGGUGAGUAACGCGUGAGGAACCUGCCUUGAAGAGGGGGACAACAGUUGGAAACGACUGCUAAUACCGCAUGACGCAUAGAGGUCGCAUGAUCUUUAUGCCAAAGAUUUAUCGCUUCAAGAUGGCCUCGCGUCUGAUUAGCUGGUUGGCGGGGUAACGGCCCACCAAGGCGACGAUCAGUAGCCGGACUGAGAGGUUGAACGGCCACAUUGGGACUGAGAUACGGCCCAGACUCCUACGGGAGGCAGCAGUGGGGAAUAUUGGGCAAUGGGCGCAAGCCUGACCCAGCAACGCCGCGUGAAGGAAGAAGGCUUUCGGGUUGUAAACUUCUUUUAAGAGGGAAGAGCAGAAGACGGUACCUCUAGAAUAAGCCACGGCUAACUACGUGCCAGCAGCCGCGGUAAUACGUAGGUGGCAAGCGUUGUCCGGAUUUACUGGGUGUAAAGGGCGUGCAGCCGGGUCUGCAAGUCAGAUGUGAAAUCCAUGGGCUCAACCCAUGAACUGCAUUUGAAACUGUAGAUCUUGAGUGUCGGAGGGGCAAUCGGAAUUCCUAGUGUAGCGGUGAAAUGCGUAGAUAUUAGGAGGAACACCAGUGGCGAAGGCGGAUUGCUGGACGAUAACUGACGGUGAGGCGCGAAAGUGUGGGGAGCAAACAGGAUUAGAUACCCUGGUAGUCCACACUGUAAACGAUGAAUACUAGGUGUGCGGGGACUGACCCCUUGCGUGCCGCAGUAAACACAAUAAGUAUUCCACCUGGGGAGUACGAUCGCAAGGUUGAAACUCAAAGGAAUUGACGGGGGCCCGCACAAGCGGUGGAUUAUGUGG
This 894-nucleotide ribosomal RNA is filed under the name uncultured bacterium. RNAcentral describes it as "bacterial SSU rRNA". It matches the Rfam family "Bacterial small subunit ribosomal RNA", at positions 51 to 944 of the family's 1533-position model. The record is from RNAcentral.